Molecule: ribosomal RNA, 194 nt
Filed under: uncultured eukaryote
Lineage: Eukaryota
Description: partial 18S ribosomal RNA
Rfam family: Eukaryotic small subunit ribosomal RNA
Source: RNAcentral
CCAACCUGGUUGAUCCUGCCAGUAGUCAUAUGCUUGUCUCAAAGAUUAAGCCAUGCAUGUCUCAGUAUAAGUCUUAACACGGCGAAACUGCGAAUGGCUCAUUAAAACAGUUAUAGUCUACUUGAUUUUCGAAUGUUAUAAGGGUAACUGCGGAAAAUCUGGAGCUAAUACUUGCGUCAAAGCCCAACUUCUUG